UUAAGUAUAAUAAAUUAUUAGGAAGGAUUAAAAAAACAUACAGUAUUCUGAUAAUUUCCAAGUUUUCGAAAGCAGAUAACAUUGAUAGACAAAUUGAGAAAUAUCUUCCAUAGAGUUUAAUGUUACUGUCAUUACUUGCUAAACCAUCCUAAUAUAAGUGCAUUGUCAUGGUGCUGUCUGUUUUCCCUCUCCCCUCUCCCUUGUUUUUUGUCUGUCGUGUGCUGAGUGGGUGUGGCGCUCCUGGCUCUCUCUCCCUCCUCGUCAAGACACCUGUGGCUUCCUGUUCACCUGAUUCACAUCCAGCAAUCACCACUCCUGUUUUAAAACCCCAGCUUUCCAACCAGUCUCUGCCAGAUCAUCCGUUCACCCAAGUGGUAACACUUGCUACGGCCAGCCUCAAUUCCCACUACAGCCCUGGAAGCCCAGUCUGCCUGUCUGAGCCUUGUUCUUCUCUCGAACCUGCUUCUCACCUGUCUGCCCGCUCUCAGCCCCAGGGGAUAUCCAGCACCUGCAUCACUCAUUUUUUGUGUUCAAUAAACCUCAAUACCUGUUC
This is a long non-coding RNA of Perca flavescens (yellow perch), 553 nucleotides long. RefSeq lists it as uncharacterized. The transcript is spliced from 2 exons. Lineage: Eukaryota; Metazoa; Chordata; Actinopteri; Perciformes; Percidae. The record is from RefSeq and is a predicted model, not a curated record.